GCUCAGUCGGCUGCUGCUGCAGGAGUUUCACCACAAGAGUCGGACAGUGACCAGCUCCAGGUCACGACCUGUGUACAGGGAACUGAUUGGUAGAUCUGGAACUCCUGUGGCGCCCCCCACUGAUCCAGGAUCUCAAAACAAUGAAAUGAUCCAACAAACAGGAGCUGAUAGAAUUUAUUCCACUGUGCAACUGACCGACUGUUUAAAACACAUCAGUGCCUCACACUGUUGCACCGGGCGACCAUCACCAUGGACAAUGGGCUGCAGUUCAUUUUGCACCAUAAUAC
Molecule: long non-coding RNA, 287 nt
Organism: Seriola dumerili (greater amberjack)
Lineage: Eukaryota; Metazoa; Chordata; Actinopteri; Carangiformes; Carangidae
Exons: 3
Source: RefSeq, a predicted model, not a curated record